RNAcentral lists this small RNA (1044 nucleotides) under Histoplasma capsulatum var. duboisii H88. RNAcentral describes it as "Histoplasma capsulatum H88 hypothetical RNA". The record is from RNAcentral. Lineage: Eukaryota; Fungi; Ascomycota; Eurotiomycetes; Onygenales; Ajellomycetaceae.
CUAAACCUUUGGUUAUUUAGCUAUCUUUUCUGCAUACCUACAUAGUAUACAGAAUACAAGCAAGCAAGACUUAACCACUCAACCAAAACGACCUCAAAAAGGGGCAUACAGUUGAACAUGGUUAAUUUUUCAGAUCGCGAAAUUCUUUUAUUCGGAAUUGGCAGUUCAAGUGUAAAGAACUCAUAAUAUUUUGGAAUGACAGUUCCUUCAAGUGGAUAAAGCAGUCUCAGUUGGGAAUUACGUUACCUACUGCUCUGCCUACUAUAUACAUUCUUGCUGGGCCCAGCUCCCAUGACCCGGCCGAAAUGCUUCUUCCUCAGCUGAGAGAACCGCGGACAGGCAAAAAGGAUUUGGUGAUCUCGAUACAAUUGUCCUUUUUCCUCUCUUUUACCUCUCUUUUUUUUAAUUUUGGGCCGAAGGGGAGUUGUAUUCCGUCCAUACACAGUUAAUAUCCCUCCUUGCCUGAGUGUUUCCUCCAAGGGCGAGUGCCGGUUGUACUGUACCAUCAUGUGUUAGAUGGCGCAAGCAGCCCCUUCUGAAUGUUGCCUGGUUGCGGCGGUGGAAGAUGGUUGAUGUUGUGAGCAGCUGCCCUGGCGAUCACUGCUUGUAUAUUGAUGCUGAUACACAUGAAGCAGUGGUGGAGCUCAGAAUAGUGCUUCAAUGCUAGAUCAAUAUAGAGAAGACUUAACUGAUCUCUGUUCUGCUGGAGUCUAGAAAGAUAAUUGCUCUCCAGCCAACACAGAUCAGAGGCAUCAUGGAACUUGUCAUAUAUGGCAGCAGCUCAAAGCUUUCCUUUUGAACAGAUAGACUGAAUUCAACAGUAUGGUGGUGCUGAUGCCUUGGGUUUUCUCUGUUACUUGAGUCAUUCUUGUCACAAUAUCAGCUAUGAUAAAGGUUGUCUCUGAGAAAUCCAUAUAUUAGUCAGUCAAGCUCUAGAGUUUCAUUCUAUCUUGUUUUAGCACAUCAACUAAAAACAUAUCAGAAAAGUCUUCACAGAAAAUUUCAACAAGUACUGUCCACUCACAGUUAAGCUUGUCAGAUUAG